RNAcentral lists this long non-coding RNA (1767 nucleotides) under Struthio camelus australis. Its description in RNAcentral is "lncRNA (ENSSCUG00000009245.1)". Lineage: Eukaryota; Metazoa; Chordata; Aves; Struthioniformes; Struthionidae. The record is from RNAcentral.
CACUGUAAAACCGGUUUAACAUGUGACAACUGACACCUCAGGAGGCAAGGUGUGGCAAGUCUCUCACUCUCACUGUUCAGCAAGGGUGAACAAGACUUCCUGUCACAAGCUCUACAGUCCCAGUUUACUGCAACAUCGUCUCUGAGGGCUGGCUAAUCUCCCUUGUCCAUGGCUUCUUGUUCCAGGCAGCUUCCCUGUCCCAUGUGUAUGGGGACUGGAGAUACAUUUCUCACCACCAUUAGAGCAAGGAAUGAAGACAUAACGCACAGAGAAGACCUUUUUCAGUCACUGGGAAUAAGGAGUACCAAAUGCUCUGCCUUAGGAGCCAGGAUCGUAUUAAGUGGCAGCUCUCCUUCUCCAUGGUAACAUCCUGUAGCACAUUUUAUGUUCUUGAAACAGAUUUCUGUCACAUCAGCAGCAAACUCAAUACUGAGAUGAAGAGAGACAUGGACUAAAUACGGGUAAUGAAAUUGGACUAAUCUUACAGCUUUUGCUCCCUAUAGGGCUCUUUCCUUUCCUUGCCAUCUGAAUUCCUGGCCAUACCCUAGGCCAUCUUAAAAUCCACUUAGCUAGAUUUAACAUCUACAGGAGGUUGAUUUACUGUGAGACAUUCUCCUCUGGUAUUUAACAAGUGGAAAAAAGUUCUGCAGUCUGCAUGUAAUUCAGUAGGUAGGAUGAUACUGCAGCUGCCGCUAGCAAAGGAAACUCCAGUGCUUUGACUGAAAUCUCAGUUUAUACUGGGGAGAGAUUUUAGAAACUAGGUUCUAAGGAUAGCUGAUGUGAUCCAUUCAUACUGACUUCCCUUCCUGAAGUAGUCUGUCCAUGGGAGAAAGAGUAGAUGGUUAGUAUACAUGAAUCAUAUUUCUCCCGUUUCUUUCAGCAUGCUGUGAGAGAUUGUCAAAGCAAUGUGGCAGAACCAGACUGAAGCAGAGGGUUAAUACAGAGAAACGAAAAAGAAUUAUAAUAAUGCAGCAAAAUGGAAAGAGUUAACAUAUCUGGAGCAGGUGGUGGUUAUGGAUCAGUACUGAUGAACUGGGAACACGCCUGUGCUAGAAGACAGCAGUGGUAUAGGCUGAUUUGUGUGACUUCUCCUCCCUGCAAUACUCAGUCUAUUGCUGCCAUUUGAACCAUAUGUUGUGCCAGGUUCAGUCAUGCCUGAUUUAUGACACCUAUGACAGGAGCUGCAUCAGUGGAAGCUUUUAAUUCCGCUAUUGAGAAGUGGUCUUUAUUGCAAAAGAACCAUGUAACUGAAUUUUGACCACAUACCCCCCCACCAAAACAGCCACUCUUGCAGUUGAAUCUUCUCACUGCUCCAUCUGCACUUAGCAUCUCCAGCUACUGCCUGUAGCAGCUGAAGAUAAAUUUUCCACCUCCAGCGGAAGAAGGAUAGGAGGCAAUAUGGGCAGUAUUGUACUGUGGAUGGACAGCAAAUAAGGACAAGGAGCCUUCCCAAGUUCUCCCCAGUCUCAAUGCUAGUAUCUGGGAUCACAACAACAGCAAACUUUUCAGUUGGGUGUUGAAAGGAAGCUGAAAUUGCUCCAUUCAAGCAAUCUCCCUGCUUUGGCCUAAUUGGCUUAUAGCGAUAAGUAGAGAGUGUGUAUGAAUAGAUUAGACCAGAUACUUCUCUAGGUUACUGUUCAGGUAACUGUUCAGGUUGGAUGAUGAUGGUGUGAAACUGAAGCUGAACUGUUUUCAGCCGGCAGUGCUGAACCCAGGGACUGUUUUAACAUGAAUAAAAUAGUCCAGAACAAUUAAAUAAAAAAUGUG